Molecule: ribosomal RNA, 256 nt
Filed under: uncultured bacterium
Lineage: Bacteria
Description: partial 16S ribosomal RNA
Rfam family: Bacterial small subunit ribosomal RNA
Source: RNAcentral
UACGUAGGGUCCGAGCGUUGUCCGGAGUUACUGGGCGUAAAGGGCGCGCAGGCGGCGGUGCUGGCCCGGCGUGAAACGCCCCCGGCUCAACCGGGGAGGGUCGUCGGGGACCGCACCGGCUUGAGGGCGGUAGGGGCCGGUGGAAUGCCUGGUGUAGUGGUGAAAUGCGUAGAGAUCAGGCAGAACGACCGUGGGCGAAGGCGGCGGCUGGGACCGACCUGACGCUGAGGCGCGAAAGGCGUGGGUAGCAAACAGG